RNAcentral lists this ribosomal RNA (565 nucleotides) under Rutilus rutilus (roach minnow). Its description in RNAcentral is "partial 16S ribosomal RNA". It matches the Rfam family "Bacterial large subunit ribosomal RNA", at positions 1831 to 2594 of the family's 2925-position model. The record is from RNAcentral. Lineage: Eukaryota; Metazoa; Chordata; Actinopteri; Cypriniformes; Leuciscidae.
CAACUUUAUUGAGUAUAGGAGGUCCAGCCUGCCCAGUGACUACGGGUUCAACGGCCGCGGUAUUUUGACCGUGCAAAGGUAGCGCAAUCACUUGUCUCUUAAAUAGAGACCUGUAUGAAUGGCUAGACGAGGGCUUAACUGUCUCCCCCUUCCGGUCAGUGAAAUUGAUCUAUCCGUGCAGAAGCGGGUAUAAUUUUACAAGACGAGAAGACCCUUUGGAGCUUAAGGUACAAAAUUCAACCACGUUAAACGACUCUACGUAAAGCAAGAACUUAGUGGCGAAUGAAAUUUUACCUUCGGUUGGGGCGACCACGGAGGAGAAAGAAGCCUCCGAGUGGACUGGGCUAACCCCCAAAGCCAAGAGAUACAUCUAUAAGCCGCAGAACAUCUGACCAAGAAUGAUCCGACUGAUAAAGCCGAUCAACGAACCAAGUUACCCUAGGGAUAACAGCGCAAUCCUCUCCCAGAGUCCAUAUCGACGAGGGGGUUUACGACCUCGAUGUUGGAUCAGGACAUCCUAAUGGUGCAGCCGCUAUUAAGGGUUCGUUUGUUCAACGAUUAAAGU